UACGUAGGGGGCAAGCGUUGUCCGGAUUUAUUGGGCGUAAAGCGCUCGCAGGCGGCUUGCUACGUCGUGCGUGAAACACCCCGGCUCAACUGGGGAGGGUCACGCGAUACUGAUCGACUCGAAGGCAGGAGAGGGUAGUGGAAUUCCCGGUGUAGUGGUGAAAUGCGUAGAUAUCGGGAGGAACACCAGUGGCGAAGGCGACUACCUGGCCUGUUUCUUGACGCUGAGGCGCGAAAGCUAGGAGAGCAAACGGG
Molecule: ribosomal RNA, 254 nt
Filed under: uncultured bacterium
Lineage: Bacteria
Description: partial 16S ribosomal RNA
Rfam family: Bacterial small subunit ribosomal RNA
Source: RNAcentral